UGUUGCAGAUGCUCCUUGAUCCUAUGCAACAUCUGAACUCUGUGUUGGAGCAUAUUGUGAGCUGCUGGUAUAAUGGUGUCAUGAUAAGGACCCAUAGGAAGUGAUAGAGGCUUGUAACCACAAAGGGCUUCAAAAAGGGAUACUCCCAGACUAGUAUGGCAUUGAUUCAGGCUUUCACUUUGACCAUCUGUCUCUGGAUGAUAGGAUGAGCUAUAAUGCAGAGCAGUGCCAAUCAUUCUAAAGAGUUCCUGCCAGAAUUUGCUAAUGAACAACUUAUCUCUAUCAGUCACAAUAGACUCAGCAUUUAGGGGCAAAAGGAGCUAGGAAAUUAACUUUUGAAGCCUUCCUGUCAGUUAGACGUGGGCACGCCUAAGUAUGAUAUCCAAAGCCGGAUUUGCGGGAUUGUUGGCCACGUGCAAACUUCCAAAUAUUUGGAGAUUCCUUCGCGGGUGACAAUUCUGGAACAAUGCUGACUUAGCCAAUUUGCACGUGAAGAGUCAUUUGGCAAUAAGACUUCAAUUGGAUUUCAAUUGAUUUGGUUCCUUCUUUGACUAAACGUGCUGACCCACAAAAGCAGGAAGACUACUGGGUCUCUUUUGGGAGACAGCCGCACGAGGACUCUAUAAAUACAAUCCCUUUGCUGGCUUCAGGGGAUAUCUCUCUCUCUCUCUCUCUCUCUCGACAUAAACAAGUUUUAGUUUAGGCUUUUAGCAUAGUUUUAGAUUUUCUUUUCUUAGCUUUUCCGCGGGGGUUGUUCUCCAUUAAUGGAGGACUAACCUCCUAUUGCUAGUCAAGGGGACAACUAAAGAUUUGGUUCAACAAUUACUGUGAGAUCUAAUUUAUUUUAAUUGCUUCC
Molecule: non-coding RNA, 856 nt
Organism: Coffea arabica (coffee)
Lineage: Eukaryota; Viridiplantae; Streptophyta; Magnoliopsida; Gentianales; Rubiaceae
Source: RefSeq, a predicted model, not a curated record